Pimephales promelas (fathead minnow) is the source of this 801-nucleotide long non-coding RNA. RefSeq lists it as uncharacterized. The record is from RefSeq and is a predicted model, not a curated record. NCBI's taxonomy places the organism in Eukaryota, Metazoa, Chordata, Actinopteri, Cypriniformes, Leuciscidae.
CGUCGACAAACAGCGCAAAUAAAGCAACGUUUCUGUUGAAGAAAUCGGCGCAGAAUGUCCGUUGUCUAAAUUGGCGACACAUUGGCCCAAAACAACAGAACUCCUGGUCAACGGAACUCUUUCACAACUACUCCAAACGGACUGUUUCAAGAUGAUUAACUUACCGAUGACACAAUAAAGUCUCCAUUUACAACCAAGAAUGGCAGUGAAUGGCCGUCUAUCAAGGCGCAUCCAUCCAUGAUAAAAGUAAUCCACCACAUGACUCUGGCGGGGUUAUAAAGCCCUUUUAAAGCGAAGCAUUUGUGCUAUGAGGAAAAACUCUACCGUGGCGUGCACACAGAGAACAGAGCUCAAUGCUGCUAACUGGGGGAGCAGCUGGACAACUAGAAGAGAGAAUAGUAGAACACUACUAUUAAUACAGAUUCCUGGAUUAUUCUUCUGCAAGAACCAAAACAAGCAAAGACUGAUGAUGAGUGCUCUGAGCAAACACCGGAGUCAAGACGCAUGAGUGACUUUACAGAGUUCUUCAUGUAAUGUUGGGCAUUUACUGUACGCAGAAGUUCUAAUAAUUUAUGUGGAUGCCAUUUAUAAACCUGUUAGAUUUUGAUGUUUUAGUUUUGAGAUUAAUAAAAUGUUAUGCUUUAACAAUGUUAUAGCUAAUCAUUUUUGAGGGGUUUUAAGAGAACAUUUUGGGAACAAAAAUAAACUUCCGCUAAAAACUUUAUAAGAAAGUUAGGGGAUAAUGUUUUAAAAAUGUUAUGAUUAAACCUUUAUAGAAGGUCAUCACAAAACAUUUUCAGA